Molecule: ribosomal RNA, 724 nt
Filed under: Bacillus amyloliquefaciens
Lineage: Bacteria; Bacillati; Bacillota; Bacilli; Caryophanales; Bacillaceae
Description: bacterial SSU rRNA
Rfam family: Bacterial small subunit ribosomal RNA
Source: RNAcentral
CUAUACAUGCAAGUCGAGCGGACAGAUGGGAGCUUGCUCCCUGAUGUUAGCGGCGGACGGGUGAGUAACACGUGGGUAACCUGCCUGUAAGACUGGGAUAACUCCGGGAAACCGGGGCUAAUACCGGAUGGUUGUUUGAACCGCAUGGUUCAGACAUAAAAGGUGGCUUCGGCUACCACUUACAGAUGGACCCGCGGCGCAUUAGCUAGUUGGUGAGGUAACGGCUCACCAAGGCGACGAUGCGUAGCCGACCUGAGAGGGUGAUCGGCCACACUGGGACUGAGACACGGCCCAGACUCCUACGGGAGGCAGCAGUAGGGAAUCUUCCGCAAUGGACGAAAGUCUGACGGAGCAACGCCGCGUGAGUGAUGAAGGUUUUCGGAUCGUAAAGCUCUGUUGUUAGGGAAGAACAAGUGCCGUUCAAAUAGGGCGGCACCUUGACGGUACCUAACCAGAAAGCCACGGCUAACUACGUGCCAGCAGCCGCGGUAAUACGUAGGUGGCAAGCGUUGUCCGGAAUUAUUGGGCGUAAAGGGCUCGCAGGCGGUUUCUUAAGUCUGAUGUGAAAGCCCCCGGCUCAACCGGGGAGGGUCAUUGGAAACUGGGGAACUUGAGUGCAGAAGAGGAGAGUGGAAUUCCACGUGUAGCGGUGAAAUGCGUAGAGAUGUGGAGGAACACCAGUGGCGAAGGCGACUCUCUGGUCUGUAACUGACGCUGAGGAGCG